UACGGAGGAUGCGAGCGUUAUCCGGAUUUAUUGGGUUUAAAGGGUGCGUAGGCGGGAUGCCAAGUCAGCGGUAAAAAUGCGGUGCUCAACGCCGUCGAGCCGUUGAAGCUGGCGUUCUUGAGUGGGCGAGAAGUAUGCGGAAUGCGUGGUGUAGCGGUGAAAUGCAUAGAUAUCACGCAGAACUCCGAUUGCGAAGGCAGCAUACCGGCGCCCUACUGACGCUGGGGCACGAAAGCGUGGGUAUCGAACAGG
Molecule: ribosomal RNA, 252 nt
Filed under: uncultured bacterium
Lineage: Bacteria
Description: partial 16S ribosomal RNA
Rfam family: Bacterial small subunit ribosomal RNA
Source: RNAcentral